RNAcentral lists this transfer RNA (73 nucleotides) under Streptomyces sp. PVA_94-07. Lineage: Bacteria; Bacillati; Actinomycetota; Actinomycetes; Kitasatosporales; Streptomycetaceae. The record is from RNAcentral.
CUACCGCAGGCUCGCCAACGGCGACCGCCACUACUGGCUGGGGCUGGAGCUGGGUGACCGCUGGGCCGACGAG